CAGCGAUUCCCGGUGCAGCCGAACCAGCGGCUCAUUGCGGCAGCUGCCGAGGGGGGGCAGAGGCUGGUGAGCGGCGGCUCUGCGGCGCUAUGGGACCGUAGCACCCGCCGCGGGCAGGAGAGAGCAUCAGUUAUUUCUUCAAGAACAACUUUAUCUGUGAUUGGUUGAGGAGGAUUGCAUGUCUGGAACGUCAAAGCCACCACAAUGAAGCACUUCCUGAGACAUUCCUUGUCCACUUGAUCAACUCAUCUGUUCAGUCCCUUCCCAUGAUUCUGCCA
Molecule: long non-coding RNA, 278 nt
Organism: Gopherus evgoodei (Goodes thornscrub tortoise)
Lineage: Eukaryota; Metazoa; Chordata; Testudines; Testudinidae
Exons: 3
Source: RefSeq, a predicted model, not a curated record